ACACGAAAGGUGCGAGCGUUGUUCGGAUUUACUGGGCGUUAAGCGAGUGUAGGUGGUUUGUUAAGUCGGAUGUGAAAUCCCGGGGCUCAACCUCGGAACUGCAUUCGAUACUGGCAGGCUAGAGUUCGGGAGGGGUAAGCGGAAUUCCGUGUGUAGCAGUGAAAUUCGUAGAUAUACGGAGGAACACCUGAGGCGAAGGCGGCUUACUGGACCGAUACUGACACUGAGACUCGAAAGCGUGGGUAGCAAACAGGAUUAGAAACCCUAGUAGUCC
RNAcentral lists this ribosomal RNA (274 nucleotides) under uncultured bacterium. RNAcentral's name for it is "partial 16S ribosomal RNA". It matches the Rfam family "Bacterial small subunit ribosomal RNA", at positions 523 to 796 of the family's 1533-position model. The record is from RNAcentral.